This is a non-coding RNA of Rattus norvegicus (Norway rat), 1614 nucleotides long. NCBI's taxonomy places the organism in Eukaryota, Metazoa, Chordata, Mammalia, Rodentia, Muridae. The record is from RefSeq and is a predicted model, not a curated record.
AUUGUUGUAGCUGCUUAUGUCUCUGCUUCCUGGACUCUUCCUAAUAGGAUUGUGAAAAUACUUGAGUAUAAGACGGAUGAAGGUCCAGUCUUCUCUCACUGACCUCUAAGGAAAAUUCUAAAGUGAAGAUUAUCAGGCCACUAUUUUGAAGUCUUCCUGUGCCCUGGAGAUCACUAAGCAGAGAUAGGAAUAUUUCAACUUGGGGAAAACUGUCACAGAGUCAAAGGAAAAAUUGUCUGCCAUCUUUGUUUACAGCCAGCACUCUCAAAAAGAGUAGAUAUUAAAUCCCAUGUACUUCAUUGAUAUUGCUCUAAAAAAUGUAACAAUCACACAGUGAAGUUCAUAGAUGCAAGAAUUGAAAUGCCAAUUUAUAGAGUAAUUCCAAAACAUUGGCCAUUCGAUUUUACUGUACAGUAACAAAUUAUUUGGCUUACUCCUAUUUUGGGAACUUCUGGACAUUCUGACUCCUCAGGACCUCAGACUGACUGCUCAGUCCUUCCACCCGCCUAUGCAGAUGCAAGCCCAGCCUUCUUUAUUAUCCAAAGUCAACUAGAAUCUAACCAGCCAGGUGGCCCUACUGUGUGACCCCCAUGGAUCUCAGCACUACCUCCUAUGAAUCACCACCUGGAUUGGAAUAUUUACUUCAGAUAGAUCAUAUUCUGAUUCACCAGCAGUUUGAGUUUGUGGAAGCCAUUUUAGGGUUUGAAACUGCUAACCAAUAUAAAAUCAAGGACAAGCUGGGACAGAAGGUUUACUAUGCCAUCGAAGACUCUAAUUUCUUAACACGUAAUUGCUGUGGGGACAAUAGACCUUUCUCCAUGAGGAUCAUUGAUAACUCAGGUCAUGAAGUCAUAACUCUACAAAGACCACUAAGAUGUGAUUCUUGUUUCUGCCCCUGCUGCCUCCAGAAGAUGGAAGUCCAAGCUCCUCCUGGUGUGCCAAUCGGUUACAUUAUUCAAACCUGGCACCCAUGCCGGCCAAAGUUUACAGUUCAAAAUGAGGAGAAACAGGACGUUCUAAAAAUUAUUGGUCCAAUCAUCACUUGCAGCUUUGGAGGAAAUGUAGAUUUUGAGAUCAAAUCUCUUGAUGAAGCAUUCGUGGUUGGCAGGAUUUCCAAACACUGGUCUGGUUUUCUGAAGGAGAUACUGACAGAUGUAGACAGUUUUGGGAUCCAGUUCCCUUUAGACCUUGAUGUAAAGAUAAAGGCUGUGAUGCUUGGCGCCUGUUUCCUCAUAGAUUUGGAACAGCCCAAUGCACUGUAUGGGGAAUAAAAUCUAAAUAAUAAUAAUAAUAAGAAGAAGAAGAAGAAGAAGAAGAAGAAGAAAAACCCUAAGAGACAAAAGUGUAUACAACUAAAGAAUACAAAUCCUUCAACAACAAAAACAUCAAUAAAAAUAAAAUGAAGGGCCAGAGAGAUUUUGGAGUUAUCUACUUAGUGGGGAUUUCAUGUUCUUUGAAAGCAGUAGAGGCCAGAGACCAAAACUACGAUUAUGGUAAUGAAUCAAUAUGCAUGUCCUCAGAGAUGUGAAGUAGAAACAUUCGUUGAGACUGAAACGAAGCAUGGUCAUAUCUUUCAUUGAAAUCACUUGAAUUAAACUAGGAUAUGCAACUCCA